UCUUACAUUGAUCUCUCGCUCACUACACACAAUACAAUCUUUCUCUCGCUAGAAAGAAAAAUACUCUUUAGAUUCUUUUUUUCUUGUCUCGAGAGUAUAACGUAGUAAUGAGUUUGUAGAUUCUGUUUCGGGUGCUGUGAAACGGUCUCAUCACGGUUGUAUCUUGGGAUUCAAAAAUCGCAUAAAAACCAUCACAUAUUACGGGCGAUUUAUCGAUUUAAGGAAAUAUAUCAAAUCUCGACCCCGUGAAUUCGUCUAUUUUAUUACGAUUUCUUAACGUUUUUCAACCUUUUUAUUAUCGUUUAUAUGCUUUGGGUUUCGUAAUUUUCAAUUAGGAAUCUAGCGGUCCUACAAGUUUCACCAUUGACUUGAGGAAAUCCCGCUGGAACAAGCGAUGAUCAUAAGAAUGUUAUAGAAGAGAAGAGUGACUUGAAGGACAAGUUUAAUAGAAGAUGUUUAACAGAACAAGUUCAAUGUAUGAAUCUAAUGUUCUAAACACUUCACACUUAUCUUCUCAUAAUAAGAUGAGUCACCUUAAGCAAAAUAUUUGCUACUUACUCAAUUUUGAUAGAUAAUUGAGAUUAAAAAUAACACUUGCCAAUGAAAAAAAAGUUUUGGUGAGGAAAUAAUCAAAAACUUGAUGAGGAAGCUAAGUUCCUCUCCCCACCUAUAAAUAGAUGCAUUUGUUCCAUCCUAAAGCAUCACUACAAAAACUAAGAGAAACACAUGAAAAAAGGUGUAGGUAAAGGGAGAGAAGAUCUAACUCCAACUUUAAUAUCAAGAGAUCAUCUUCCAUGAUCAAAAUCUUUCAAGAAUGUUUCUGCAACAACGAAUUUAGUUGCAAAUAGAAAAUCGGAGACGAUGAUGACACAAGGAAAAGAAGGCGAGACACAGUAGACGCAAAAUGACGUGUAUAUCCAUAAUCCACGUCAAGUGAUAUGAUUGGCUCUAGUUAUUAUGAAAUGACAGUCACAUCCUUACUUGUUCUCGAGUGACACAAUUGCAAGUGUGGUAUAUAUAUGUUUAGCGAUUGUAAAUUGUUAACUUUUUUUUUUUACCUUUUUCAUUGAUCCGAGAUUUUUGGAUAGCUGAGACCUAACCAACUAAUUCUCGAGUGCCUGGCCACCAGCGCCAGUUAGACACGAUUGUAAUCCAAAAACAACAGAUUCAAA
Molecule: long non-coding RNA, 1172 nt
Organism: Raphanus sativus (radish)
Lineage: Eukaryota; Viridiplantae; Streptophyta; Magnoliopsida; Brassicales; Brassicaceae
Exons: 3
Source: RefSeq, a predicted model, not a curated record